RNAcentral lists this ribosomal RNA (701 nucleotides) under Hemibarbus barbus. RNAcentral's name for it is "partial 12S ribosomal RNA". It matches the Rfam family "Bacterial small subunit ribosomal RNA", at positions 518 to 1521 of the family's 1533-position model. The record is from RNAcentral. Lineage: Eukaryota; Metazoa; Chordata; Actinopteri; Cypriniformes; Gobionidae.
CGGUUAUACGAGAGGCCCUAGUUGAUAUUAUUACGGCGUAAAGGGUGGUUAAGGAAAGCACAACAAUAAAGCCGAAUGGCCCUCUGGCGUCAUACGCUUCCGGGUGUCCGAAGUCCAACUCACGAAAGUAGCUUUAAUACAGCCCACCUGACCCCACGAAAGCUGAGAAACAAACUGGGAUUAGAUACCCCACUAUGCUCAGCCAUAAACCUAGACAUCCAACUACAAUUAAACGUCCGCCCGGGUACUACGAGCAUCAGCUUGAAACCCAAAGGACCUGACGGUGCCUUAGACCCCCCUAGAGGAGCCUGUUCUAGAACCGAUAACCCCCGUUAAACCUCACCACUUCUAGCCACCCCAGCCUAUAUACCGCCGUCGUCAGCUUACCCUGUGAAGGCAACAAAAGUAAGCAAAAUGGGCACAACCCAGAACGUCAGGUCGAGGUGUAGCGUACGAAGCGGAAAGAAAUGGGCUACAUUUUCUAUAUAUAGAACACUACGAAUAAUGCAACAUGAAAUAGUGCUUGAAGGAGGAUUUAGUAGUAAAAAGGAAGCAGAGUGUCCUUUUGAACCCGGCUCUGAGGCGCGUACACACCGCCCGUCACUCUCCCCUGUCAAAACGCAACAAAGAUAUAUAACACUAAAGCACUGACAAGGGGAGGCAAGUCGUAACAUGGUAAGUGUACCGGAAGGUGCACUUGG